Non-coding RNA from Massariosphaeria phaeospora, 89 nucleotides. Lineage: Eukaryota; Fungi; Ascomycota; Dothideomycetes; Pleosporales. The record is from the annotation of a GenBank genome assembly.
GGUCGCUUAGCUCAGUUGGUUAGAGCGUGGUGCUAAUAGAUCUUCUCUGUGACACGCCAAGGUCGCGAGUUCGACCCUCGUAGUGACCA